RNAcentral lists this ribosomal RNA (250 nucleotides) under uncultured bacterium. RNAcentral describes it as "partial 16S ribosomal RNA". It matches the Rfam family "Bacterial small subunit ribosomal RNA", at positions 355 to 598 of the family's 1533-position model. The record is from RNAcentral.
UUUCGAAUCAUUCACAAUGGGCGAAAGCCUGAUGGUGCGACGCCGCGUGAGGGAUGAAGGUCUUCGGAUUGUAAACCUCUGUCACCGGGGAAGAAACGCUUCAAGUUAACAGUUUGAAGCCUGACUUAACCCGGAGAGGAAGCAGUGGCUAACUCUGUGCCAGCAGCCGCGGUAAUACAGAGACUGCAAGCGUUAUUCGGAUUCACUGGGCGUAAAGGGUGCGCAGGCGGCCGGGUGUGUCAGAUGUGAA